This 496-nucleotide ribosomal RNA is filed under the name uncultured bacterium. Its description in RNAcentral is "partial 16S ribosomal RNA". It matches the Rfam family "Bacterial small subunit ribosomal RNA", at positions 28 to 506 of the family's 1533-position model. The record is from RNAcentral.
GAUGAACGCUGGCGGCGUGCCUAAUACAUGCAAGUCGAGCGAACAGAUAAGGAGCUUGCUCCUGUGACGUUAGCGGCGGACGGGUGAGUAACACGUGGAUAACCUACCUAUAAGACUGGGAUAACUUCGGGAAACCGGAGCUAAUACCGGAUAACAUAUUUAACCGCAUGGUUCAAUAUUGAAAGGCGGCUUUGCUGUCACUUAUAGAUGGAUCCGCUCCGUAUUAUCUAGUUGGUAAGGUAACGGCUUACCAAGGCAACGAUGGGUAGCCGACCUGAUGGGGUGAUGGCCCACACAGGAAGUGAGACACGGUCCAGAGUCCUAGGGGAGGCAGCGGUAGGGACGCUUCGGAACAGGGCGAAAGCCUGACGGAGCAACGCAGCGUGGGUGAUGAGGGUCUUCGGAUCGUAAAACGGUGUUAUCAGGGAAGAACAAAUGUGUAACUAACGGUGCACAUCUGGACGGUACCUGAUCAGAAAGCCACGGCUAACUACGU